CCUACGGGAGGCUGCAGUGGGGAAUAUUGGACAAUGGGGGAAACCCUGAUCCAGCGACGCCGCGUGAGUGAAGAAGUAUUUCGGUACGUAAAGCUCUAUCAGCAGGAAAGAAAAUGACGGUACCUGACUACGAAGCCCCGGCUAACUACGUGCCAGCAGCCGCGGUAUUACGUAGGGGGCAAGCGUUAUCCGGAUGUACUGGGUGUAAAGGGAGCGUAGACGGCAGCGCAAGUCUGGAGUGAAAUGCGGGGGCCCAACCCCGGAACUGCUCUGGAAACUGGGAGGCUGGAGUGCAGGAGAGGUAAGCGGAAUUCCUGGUGUAGCGGUGAAAUGCGUAGAUAUCACGCAGAACACUGAUUGCGAAGGCAGCAUACCGGCGCGCGACUGACGCUCAGGCACGAAAGUGUGGGUAGCAAACAGGAUUAGAUACCCGUGUAGUC
Molecule: ribosomal RNA, 440 nt
Filed under: uncultured bacterium
Lineage: Bacteria
Description: partial 16S ribosomal RNA
Rfam family: Bacterial small subunit ribosomal RNA
Source: RNAcentral